AACGAACGCUGGCGGCAGGCUUAACACAUGCAAGUCGAGCGCCCCGCAAGGGGAGCGGCAGACGGGUGAGUAACGCGUGGGAACAUACCCUUUGGUUCGGAAUAACUCAGGGAAACUUGAGCUAAUACCGGAUACGUCCGUAAGGAGAAAGAUUUAUCGCCAAAGGAUUGGCCCGCGUCCGAUUAGCUAGUUGGUGAGGUAACGGCUCACCAAGGCUACGAUCGGUAGCUGGUCUGAGAGGAUGAUCAGCCACAUUGGGACUGAGACACGGCCCAAACUCCUACGGGAGGCAGCAGUGGGGAAUAUUGGACAAUGGGCGCAAGCCUGAUCCAGCCAUGCCGCGUGUGUGAUGAAGGCCUUAGGGUUGUAAAGCACUUUCGUCCGGGACGAUAAUGACGGUACCGGAAGAAGAAGCCCCGGCUAACUUCGUGCCAGCAGCCGCGGUAAU
RNAcentral lists this ribosomal RNA (448 nucleotides) under uncultured bacterium. RNAcentral describes it as "bacterial SSU rRNA". It matches the Rfam family "Bacterial small subunit ribosomal RNA", at positions 29 to 524 of the family's 1533-position model. The record is from RNAcentral.